CUACGGGUCGCACCAGUAAGGAAUAUUGCACAAUGGGGGAAACCCUGAUGCAGCAACGCCGCGUGGACGAAGAAGGCCUUCGGGUCGUAAAGUCCUUUUCUGAGGGAAGAGGAAGGACGGUACCUCAGGAAUAAGUCUCGGCUAACUACGUGCCAGCAGCCGCGGUAAAACGUAGGAGGCGAGCGUUAUCCGGAUUCACUGGGCGUAAAGGGCAAGUAGGCGGUUGUUUAAGUUAGGUGUGACAUCUCUCGGCUUAACUGGGAGGGAGCGCUUAAAACUAGGCAACUAGAGGGCGGAAGAAGGGGGUAGAACUCCAAAUGUAGCGGUGGAAUGCUCAGAUAUUUGGAAGAAUACCAGUGGCGAAGGCGACCCCCCGGUCCGUGCCUGACGCUGAGAGGCGAAAGCUAGGGUAGCGAACGGGAUUAGAUACCCUCGUAGUC
RNAcentral lists this ribosomal RNA (440 nucleotides) under uncultured bacterium. Its description in RNAcentral is "partial 16S ribosomal RNA". It matches the Rfam family "Bacterial small subunit ribosomal RNA", at positions 339 to 795 of the family's 1533-position model. The record is from RNAcentral.